Long non-coding RNA from Sapajus apella (tufted capuchin), 179 nucleotides. RefSeq lists it as uncharacterized. NCBI's taxonomy places the organism in Eukaryota, Metazoa, Chordata, Mammalia, Primates, Cebidae. The transcript has 4 exons. The record is from RefSeq and is a predicted model, not a curated record.
UUUUAAGUCCACCAUGCAGACAUACUCAGAAAAAAAGACUUCUUUCAAAAUAUUACUGUUCAUUGACAAUGGACCUGGUUACCCAAGAGCUCUUAUGGAGAUGCACAAGGAGAUUAACGUUGUUUUCAUGCCUGCUAACACAACAUCCAUUCUGCAGCCCAUGGAUUAAGAAGUACUUU